RNAcentral lists this ribosomal RNA (468 nucleotides) under uncultured bacterium. Its description in RNAcentral is "partial 16S ribosomal RNA". It matches the Rfam family "Bacterial small subunit ribosomal RNA", at positions 28 to 507 of the family's 1533-position model. The record is from RNAcentral.
GACGAACGCUGGCGGCGUGCUUAACACAUGCAAGUCGAACGGAAAGGCUCUGCUUUUGUGGGGUGCUCGCGUGGCGAACGGGUGAGUAACACGUGAGUAACCUGCCCUUGACUUUGGGAUAACUUCACGACACUGGGGCUAAUAACGGAUAGGAGCCCCUGCUGCAUGGUGGGGGUUGGAAAGUUUCGGCGGUCGGGGAUGGACUCGCGGCUUAUCAGCUUGUUGGUGGGGUAGUGGCUUACCAAGGCUUUGAUGGGUAGCCGGCCUGAGAGGGUGACCGGCCACAUUGGGACUGAGAUACGGCCCAGACUCCUACGGGGGGCAGCAGUGGGGAAUAUUGCACAAUGGGCGGAAGCCUGAUGCAGCAACGCCGCGUGCGGGAUGACGGCCUUCGGGUUGUAAACCGCUUUCGCCUGUGACGAAGCGUGAGUGACGGUAAUGUGUAAAGAAGCACCGGCUAACUACGUG